UGUGUGUGUGUGUGUGUGUGUGUGUAUACAUAUACAUAUACACCACACACACACACACACAUAUA
Podarcis lilfordi (Lilford's wall lizard) is the source of this 65-nucleotide non-coding RNA. The record is from the annotation of a GenBank genome assembly. NCBI's taxonomy places the organism in Eukaryota, Metazoa, Chordata, Lepidosauria, Squamata, Lacertidae.